This 497-nucleotide ribosomal RNA is filed under the name uncultured bacterium. RNAcentral describes it as "partial 16S ribosomal RNA". It matches the Rfam family "Bacterial small subunit ribosomal RNA", at positions 28 to 507 of the family's 1533-position model. The record is from RNAcentral.
GACGAACGCUGGCGGCGUGCCUAAUACAUGCAAGUUGAGCGCUGAAGGUUGGUACUUGUACCGACUGGAUGAGCAGCGAACGGGUGAGUAACGCGUGGGGAAUCUGCCUUUGAGCGGGGGACAACAUUUGGAAACGAAUGCUAAUACCGCAUAAAAACUUUAAACACAAGUUUUAAGUUUGAAAGAUGCAAUUGCAUCACUCAAAGAUGAUCCCGCGUUGUAUUAGCUAGUUGGUGAGGUAAAGGCUCACCAAGGCGAUGAUACAUAGCCGACCUGAGAGGGUGAUCGGCCACAUUGGGACUGAGACACGGCCCAAACUCCUACGGGAGGCAGCAGUAGGGAAUCUUCGGCAAUGGACGAAAGUCUGACCGAGCAACGCCACGUGAGUGAAGAAGGUUUUCGGAUCGUAAAACUCGGUUGGUAGAGAAGAACGUUGGUGAGAGUGGAAAGCUCAUCAAGUGACGGUAACUACCCAGAAAGGGACGGCUAACUACGUG